RNAcentral lists this small nuclear RNA (151 nucleotides) under Triticum aestivum (bread wheat). RNAcentral's name for it is "snRNA U4". The stretch from base 1 to 134 matches the Rfam family "U4 spliceosomal RNA". Rfam says of the family: U4 small nuclear RNA (U4 snRNA) is a component of the major U2-dependent spliceosome. The structure of U4 snRNA from yeast and human has been reported. The record is from Rfam by way of RNAcentral. Lineage: Eukaryota; Viridiplantae; Streptophyta; Magnoliopsida; Poales; Poaceae. RNAcentral also lists the same sequence under 2 other names.
AUCUUUGCGCUUGGGGCAAUGACGCAGCUAGUGAGGUUAUACCGAGGCGCGUCAAUUGCUGGUUGAAAACUAUUUCCAAACCCCCUCUUUGGCCUUCCGGGGCCACUGAGAAUUUCUGCAAGGGCUCCCUCUCCUCGGAGAGGGGAAAGCC